This 71-nucleotide transfer RNA is filed under the name Crypturellus soui. RNAcentral describes it as "tRNA-Phe". The record is from RNAcentral. Lineage: Eukaryota; Metazoa; Chordata; Aves; Tinamiformes; Tinamidae.
GUCCUCGUAGCUUACAGCAAAGCAUGACACUGAAGAUGUCAAGACGGUACGCACUCCACUGCCCGAGAACA